UUGGACGGUCAUAGGGGCCUGGUUCACCCGAUCUCAUUUCGAACUCGGCAGUUAAGAAGGCUACCGUUCUUGGUUGUACUGCAUUGCGCGGGAACCCAAGGAAACUGUCCACC
Molecule: ribosomal RNA, 113 nt
Filed under: Nanobdellota archaeon
Lineage: Archaea; Nanobdellati; Nanobdellota
Source: RNAcentral